RNAcentral lists this ribosomal RNA (301 nucleotides) under uncultured bacterium. RNAcentral's name for it is "partial 16S ribosomal RNA". It matches the Rfam family "Bacterial small subunit ribosomal RNA", at positions 509 to 807 of the family's 1533-position model. The record is from RNAcentral.
CAGUAGCCGCGGUAAUACGAAGGGCGCAAGCGUUACUCGGAAUUACUGGGCGUAAAGCGUGCGUAGGUGGUGGUUUAAGUCCGUUGUGAAAGCCCUGGGCUCAACCUGGGAAUUGCAGUGGAUACUGGAUCACUAGAGUGUGGUAGAGGAUAGUGGAAUUUCCGGUGUAGCAGUGAAAUGCGUAGAGAUCGGAAGGAACAUCUGUGGCGAAGGCGACUAUCUGGGCCAACACUGACACUGAGGCACGAAAGCGUGGGGAGCAAACAGGAUUAGAUACCCCAGUAGUCCCUGUCUCUUAUAC